AAUCAACGCUGGCGGCGUGCCUCAGACAUGCAAAGUCGAACGAUUAAAGCUCCCUUCGGGGAGUGUAUAGAGUGGCGCACGGGUGAGUAACACGUAAGUAAUCUACCUUCGAGUGGGGAAUAACGUCCGGAAACGGACGCUAAUACCGCAUAACGCAGCGGCAUCGCAAGAUGACAGUUGUUAAAGAUUUAUCGCUUGAAGAGGAGCUUGCGGCAGAUUAGCUUGUUGGAAGGUAACGGCUUACCAAGGCUACGAUCUGUAACCGGUCUAAGAGGACGGUCGGUCACACUGACACUGAAUAACGGGUCAGACUCCUACGGGAGGCAGCAGUCGGGAAUUUUGGGCAAUGGGGGAAACCCUGACCCAGCAACGCCGCGUGAAGGAUGAAGUAUUUCGGUAUGUAAACUUCGAAAGAAUAGGAAGAAUUAAUGACGUACUAUUUAUAAGGUCCGCUAACUACGUGCCAGCAGCCGCAGU
This 477-nucleotide ribosomal RNA is filed under the name uncultured bacterium. RNAcentral's name for it is "bacterial SSU rRNA". It matches the Rfam family "Bacterial small subunit ribosomal RNA", at positions 32 to 521 of the family's 1533-position model. The record is from RNAcentral.